UUGACCUCGGAUCAGGUAGGAAUACCCGCUGAACUUAAGCAUAUCAAUAAGCGGAGGAAAAGAAACCAACAGGGAUUGCCCUAGUAACGGCGAGUGAAGCGGCAACAGCUCAAAUUUGAAAUCUGGCCUCGGCCCGAGUUGUAAUUUGUAGAGGAAGCUUUUGGCACGGCACCUGCUGAGUCCCCUGGAACGGGGCGCCAUAGAGGGUGAGAGCCCCGUAUAGCAGGACGCCUAGCCUCUGUAAAGCUCCUUCGACGAGUCGAGUAGUUUGGGAAUGCUGCUCAAAAUGGGAGGUAAAUUUCUUCUAAAGCUAAAUACCGGCCAGAGACCGAUAGCGCACAAGUAGAGUGAUCGAAAGAUGAAAAGCACUUUGAAAAGAGGGUUAAAUAGCACGUGAAAUUGUUGAAAGGGAAGCGCUUGUGACCAGACUUGCGCCGGGCUGAUCAUCCGAGGUUCUCCUCGGUGCACUCUGCCCGGCUCAGGCCAGCAUCGGUUCUCGCGGGGGGAUAAAGGCCCUGGGAACGUAGCUCCUCCGGGAGUGUUAUAGCCCGGGGUGUAAUGCCCUCGCGGGGACCGAGGACCGCGCUUCGGCAAGGAUGCUGGCGUAAUGGUCAUCAGCGACCCGUCUUGAAACACGGACCAAGGAGUCAAGGUUUUGCGCGAGUGUUUGGGUGUCAAACCCGCACGCGUAAUGAAAGUGAACGUAGGUGAGAGCUUCGGCGCAUCAUCGACCGAUCCUGAUGUAUUCGGAUGGAUUUGAGUAGGAGCGUUAAGCCUUGGACCCGAAAGAUGGUGAACUAUGCUUGGAUAGGGUGAAGCCAGAGGAAACUCUGGUGGAGGCUCGCAGCGGUUCUGACGUGCAAAUCGAUCGUCAAAUCUGAGCAUGGGGGCGAAAGACUAAUCGAACCAUCUAGUAGCUGGUUACCGCCGAAGUUUCCCUCAGGAUAGCAGUGUUGUUCUUCAGUUUUAUGAGGUAAAGCGAAUGAUUAGGGACUCGGGGGCGCUUUUUAGCCUUCAUCCAUUCUCAAACUUUAAAUAUGUAAGAAGCCCUUGUUACUUAGUUGAACGUGGGCAUUCGAAUGUACCAACACUAGUGGGCCAUUUUUGGUAAGCAGAACUGGCGAUGCGGGAUGAACCGAACGCGGGGUUAAGGUGCCGGAGUGGACGCUCAUCAGACACCACAAAAGGCGUUAGUACAUCUUGACAGCAGGACGGUGGCCAUGGAAGUCGGAAUCCGCUAAGGACUGUGUAACAACUCACCUGCCGAAUGUACUAGCCCUGAAAAUGGAUGGCGCUCAAGCGUCCCACCCAUACCCCGCCCUCAGGGUAGACACGAUGCCCUGAGGAGUAGGCGGCCGUGGAGGUCAGUGACGAAGCCUAGGGCGUGAGCCCGGGUCGAACGGCCUCUAGUGCAGAUCUUGGUGGUAGUA
RNAcentral lists this ribosomal RNA (1430 nucleotides) under Podospora australis. RNAcentral's name for it is "eukaryotic LSU rRNA". It matches the Rfam family "Eukaryotic large subunit ribosomal RNA", at positions 1 to 1462 of the family's 3401-position model. The record is from RNAcentral. Lineage: Eukaryota; Fungi; Ascomycota; Sordariomycetes; Sordariales; Podosporaceae.